This 516-nucleotide ribosomal RNA is filed under the name fungal sp. TZ-2013. Its description in RNAcentral is "eukaryotic LSU rRNA". The stretch from base 174 to 327 matches the Rfam family "5.8S ribosomal RNA". The record is from RNAcentral. Lineage: Eukaryota; Fungi.
CUUCCGUAGGUGAACCUGCGGAAGGAUCAUUAUCGUGGGGCUUCGGCCCUAUCGUGAUAGAACCCUUGCCUUUUGAGUACCGUCCGUUUCCUCGGCAGGCCCGCCUGCCAAUGGGGACCCCAAUAAACCCUUUUUAUGUACCUGUAUCAGUCUGAAAAACAAACAAAAGUUAAAACUUUCAACAACGGAUCUCUUGGUUCUGGCAUCGAUGAAGAACGCAGCGAAAUGCGAUAAGUAGUGUGAAUUGCAGAAUUCAGUGAAUCAUCGAAUCUUUGAACGCACAUUGCGCCCUUUGGUAUUCCUUAGGGCAUGCCUGUUCGAGCGUCAUUUGAAACCUCAAGCUCAGCUUGGUGUUGGGUGUCUGUCCCCGCCUCCCGCGGGGACUCGCCUCAAAAUCAUUGGCGGCCGGUACGUUGGCUUCGAGCGCAGCAGAAACGCGAACUCGAGGCCCGGCGGAUCGGCGACCAGAAGUCACUUCUUCACAGUUGACCUCGAUCAGGUAAGAAAACCCCCAAU